Molecule: long non-coding RNA, 2439 nt
Filed under: Homo sapiens (human)
Lineage: Eukaryota; Metazoa; Chordata; Mammalia; Primates; Hominidae
Description: non-protein coding lnc-ZNF585A-3:2
Source: RNAcentral
UUCAGGUCAUCUGGGAGAACUUAAAUUCUUCCUUCUGCUAUUACAAUUCUUCUCACUCAGUUGCCUGCCUCUUUUUUUUUUUUAAUUUACUUGUGACUGAGUUGAAGCCCAGCAUUUUACUUUCCUUAAUGAUCUGACUUUCAUAAGUUGAUAAGUCAUGAAAUCAUUAUCUUACAUUAUAUGAGAUAUGAGAUAAAUCAUAAAUCAUAUGAAAUUGAUAACUCAUAUGAAAACCAACCCCACCAUAUGUUCACUGUCUACUUGUGUCCAUCUUCGUCCCACGCACCCCACAAGGACCUUCCCCGCCAUGUGCCUCAAACAUCAGUUCCUGACUCAGGGCCUUUGUAUUUGCAGUGCCCGUUGCAAAGAGCACAAUUCUUUAUUUUAUCUGUGGCUUGUCCGUCAUGUCUUUUUUUCCAUGACACCUCCACACAGGCCUUCCCUGCCUGCCUGGUUUAAAAUUCCAGCCCCUUACCCUUCCUCCUUUAUUCUUCUCCCUAGCAAUUUCCACCAUGCUGCCUGGUGUAUUUUCCUCAUUUCUCUGUGGCUUCUACACUAGAAAAUAUUUCCCUUUUGUUCACCACUAUGAGUCUAGACCCAUGACUGCCAUACAGCAGGCAUUCCAUAAAUGCACCUGUGGAGAGUUGACCCAUGCUUGUUGCGUGACUUCUGUCUGAUUUUUUUCUGUGUUGCAGCAUAAGAAGCGCUAAUAGGGAGAACCAACUUGGCUAAAACACACCAGGCUUUUUCACCUCUAGUCUGUACCUGGGCUGUAUCCCUUCUCAACCCUAAAGCUAAAAAGUCAUUGUGAACCUUUUGGUCUGAUGCUAAAGAAGGGAAAACAGGUACAGGAAAUCCCAUGUGGAUGCUUGCUUCCAGGAUUUCCUGCCAUGAUUCCAGAAUCCCACAGCUCCAACAUGAUUGCAAAAGACUCCCUGCUCAUUUUUCCUCAGCAUGCACAGCGCUGUCCUGUCUCAGUUGCAACUCGACAGAGCCGCAUUUACUCCAGAACCCAAUCCACACACCUGCUCAUCCUGCCCCGAGAGGAGUGCCUGAAGCCAAUAGCAGGGAACUAGAGCAGACUUGGGUGGAUCUUCAUUGGAUAUUAGGUAUCUUGCCCUAGAUAGGCAGCAGUGGCCUUACAGAUGCUGACAGAUGAUCUGAUUAGAUGCACAGUUGCUGGGUGGCGUCUGGGGCCAGUCUAUUGGCAGUUCUGGGAGUGGGAACUAUUUGGGCUCUGCAAAGAUGGUUUCACCUUUAAGAAGGGCAGUAUGGGGAGGUGAAGAUGGGGCCCAAAGGAUAGAACAUAGUCAAAGAAGCAGGGCCACAAUGCCCCUUUAAUUCCCAAGCCCUAGUUGGGCAGUGCUUGGUGACACAUCCCAUUACCUCACCUUAGAUCAAUGUCUACUGAGCCAUCAUUAGCUCUGCUUCCUCACUUCUUCACAGUAUCUGAUGGCCCAUCACAUGCUGCUCAACAUCUUAGACCAAUGUCUGCUCACCCAUUACCUCCCUUCACCUCAUCCAGCACUGUAUCUGAAGCUUCACUAUUCUUCCUUCAGUUUUGGAUAUUUUGUGAUACAACAUUAUCCCCAACUUAGGACAAUGUCAGCUGACUCUCAGGAGGGUGCCUGGAGAUCACCUCUUCCUUCCUAACAUACCCUAGAACAAGGUCUGGUCCCCUUCAUUAUUCCCAUUUUACCUUACUCCUAAGUGUAUCACUCCUCAUGAAUUCCAGGAAAUAUGGAGGAAAACACAUUUCACUGUACAUGACUUUCAAUAAUUUCUCCUUUAUAUUUAUUGUAACGUGAUAUUUUAGUGCUGACAUAUAUAUGUAUAUGUAUGCCCAUUUAUAUAAAAGACUAGUUUUUAGAGAAAUUUUAGGUUCACAGCAAAAUGGGGCAGAAGGUACAGAGAUUUCCCAUAUAUCCCCUACCCUCACAUAUACACAGCCUCCCCCAUCAUCAACAUCCCCCUUCAGAGUGGUACAUUUGUUACAAUUGAUGAAACUACAUUGACACUAUCGGCCAAAGUCCAUGGUUUAAUUAGGGUUCAGUCUUGAUGUGCAUUCUGUGGGUUGAGACAAAUGAAUAAUGACAUGUAUGCAUUAUUACAGAAGGAUAAAGAGCCGUUUCACUGUCCCAAUAAUCCUCUGUGUUUCGCCUACUCCUCUAAACUCCUGGCUAUUUUCUUUUGUCUCCAUAAUUUUGCCUCUGAACCAUAAAGUAUGCAGCCUUUUCAGAUUGAUUUGUUUCACUUAGUAAUGUGGAUUUAAGUUUCUUCCAUGUCUUUUCGUAGCUUGCUAGCUCUUUUUUUUUUUUUUUUCUCAUUGAAUAAUAUGCUAUUGUCUGGAAGUACCAUGACUUAUUUAUCCAUUCACCUACUGAAGGACACCUUAAUUGCUUCCAAGUUUUGUUGAUUAUGAAUAAAGAUGCUAUAAAC